This 527-nucleotide ribosomal RNA is filed under the name uncultured bacterium. RNAcentral's name for it is "bacterial SSU rRNA". It matches the Rfam family "Bacterial small subunit ribosomal RNA", at positions 355 to 896 of the family's 1533-position model. The record is from RNAcentral.
UGGGGAAUAUCUGGACAAUGGGGGCAACCCUGAUCCAGCAAUUCUGUGUGCACGAUGAAGGUCUUCGGAUUGUAAAGUGCUUUCAGCAGGGAAGAAAAAAAUGACGGUACCUGCAGAAGAAGCGACGGCUAAAUACGUGCCAGCAGCCGCGGUAAUACGUAUGUCGCGAGCGUUAUCCGGAAUUAUUGGGCAUAAAGGGCAUCUAGGCGGCCCUGUAAGUCUAGGGUGAAAACCUGCGGCUCAACCGCAGGCCUGCCCCGGAAACUACAGGGCUAGAGUGCUGGAGAGGUGGACGGAACUGCACGAGUAGAGGUGAAAUUCGUAGAUAUGUGCAGGAAUGCCGAUGAUGAAGAUAGUUCACUGGACGGCAACUGACGCUGAAGUGCGAAAGCUAGGGGAGCAAACAGGAUUAGAUACCCUGGUAGUCCUAGCUGUAAACGAUGAUUACUGGGUGUGGGCAUGAAGAGUGUCCGUGCCGAAGCUAAUGCGAUAAGUAAUCCGCCUGGGGAGUACGGCCGCAAGGGCUG